AAAAAAGACAAACCUGAGUUUCCGUGUCUAACUUUGACUGUCUUAUAUAAAUUUUUUUUAUAAUUCGUAUUUUCGUUAUUGUUAGAUGAUAAAAUAUGAUUAAUAUUUUAUGCGUGACUUAUCUUUUUAAUUUUUUUAUAAUUUUUUCAAUUAAGACGGACGGUCCAACUUUAAGCUCGCAAACAAGGG
Molecule: microRNA precursor, 189 nt
Filed under: Oryza sativa Indica Group (long-grained rice)
Lineage: Eukaryota; Viridiplantae; Streptophyta; Magnoliopsida; Poales; Poaceae
Description: MIR812 microRNA precursor family
Rfam family: MIR812 microRNA precursor family
Source: Rfam by way of RNAcentral